This 75-nucleotide transfer RNA is filed under the name Dehalococcoidia bacterium. RNAcentral describes it as "tRNA-Asn". It matches the Rfam family "tRNA". From Rfam's summary of the family: Transfer RNA (tRNA) molecules are approximately 80 nucleotides in length. The record is from RNAcentral. Lineage: Bacteria; Bacillati; Chloroflexota; Dehalococcoidia.
UCCCGGGUAGCUCAACGGUAGAGCGAGCGGCUGUUAACCGCUAGGUUACAGGUUCGAAUCCUGUCCCGGGAGCCA